This 459-nucleotide ribosomal RNA is filed under the name uncultured bacterium. RNAcentral describes it as "bacterial SSU rRNA". It matches the Rfam family "Bacterial small subunit ribosomal RNA", at positions 770 to 1228 of the family's 1533-position model. The record is from RNAcentral.
ACUCAAUAGAUACCCUGGUAGUCCACGCCCUAAACGAUGGAUACUAGGCGUAAGGGGUAUCGACCCCCUUGUGCCGCAGCUAAACGCACUAAGUAUCCCGCCUGGGGAGUACGGCCGCAAGGUUGAAACUCAAAUGAAUUGACGGGGACCCGGCACAAGCGGUGGAGCAUGUGGAUUAAUUCGAUACUAACCGAAGAACCUUACCCAGACUUGACAUCGAUCGCAAGGCCGAGAAAUCGGUCCCUCCCCCUCAAGGGGACGUGAAGACACUUGUUGCAUGGCUGUCGUCAGCUCGUGCCGUGAGGUGUACGGUUAAGUCCGCCAACGAGCGCAACCCACGUCCUGUGUUACCAGCGAGAGAGUCGGGCACUCACAGGAGACCGCCGGUGUAAGCCGGAGGAAGGUGUGGAUGACGUCAAGUCAGCAUGGCAGUUACGUCUGGGGCUUCACACAUGCUAC